UGUACACACCGCCCGUCACACCAUGGGAGCGGGUUCUGCCAGAAGUAGUUAGCCUAACCUGCAAAGGAGGGCGAUUACCACGGCAGGGUUCGUGACUGGGGUGAAGUCGUAACAAGGUAGCCGUAUCGGAAGGUGCGGCUGGAUCACCUCCUUUCUGGAAAUAUGCAAUCGCAUUUCUUACGCCCAUUCUUAUCGGCUGUUGUUUAAAACAACAGCAAAUGGCUUCAGUUAAAUUCAAUUUAUCUAAUUGGUGCCGCCUUCAAGAGUUCAUCGCUGAAUUCAGAGGGUCUGUAGCUCAGCUGGUUAGAGCACUGUGUUGAUAACGCAGGGGUCGUUGGUUCGAGUCCAACCAGACCCACCAAAUCGGGUUUGAAGAAUUUUGAGAACUUGAAUCCCGGGGGAUUAGCUCAGCUGGGAGAGCACCUGCUUUGCAAGCAGGGGGUCGUCGGUUCGAUCCCGUCAUCCUCCACCACUUAUCAGUAUCUGCCGGAAAAUAACGGUGCAUACGAAAUUUAUUAAUGCAAAGUACUCUCUUUGAGAGUGCUUUGUGUUGAUUGAUUUAUUAAUUUAUAUCAAUUGAUUAUUGGCUGUUCUUUAAAAAUUCAUAGAGUUAAAUCAGCGCUGCUAGCGGAAACUGCACAUUCGUAAAGGUUUAGUGCAGACCGUGCCGCUAGCAGCACAAUUUAGAGAAAUUUUUUGAUUGCGUCAAAAGAAACUUUUAAUUUCGAAUCAAAUCGAUAAUUGGAAGAUACGGUAUAACGCGUCUGGUGAAAGACCAGACAAUCAUUCCUUGAAAAUAACGGCGAGAAAUCAAAGUUAUAGGGUCAAGCGAAUAAGAGCACAUGGUGGAUGCCUUGGCAAUGAUAGGCGACGAAAGACGUGAUAGCCUGCGAUAAGCUUCGGGGAGCUGGCAAAUUAGCUUUGAUCCGGAGAUUUCUGAAUGGGGGAACCCACCGAAAGGUAUCGCAUGCUGAAUACAUAGGCAUGCGAGGCGAACCGGGUGAACUGAAACAUCUCAGUAGCUCGAGGAAAAGACAUCAACCGAGAUUCCGAAAGUAGUGGCGAGCGAAA
RNAcentral lists this unclassified non-coding RNA (1071 nucleotides) under Polaromonas sp. H4N. Its description in RNAcentral is "partial contains 16S ribosomal RNA, 16S-23S ribosomal RNA intergenic spacer, and 23S ribosomal RNA". The stretch from base 823 to 1071 matches the Rfam family "Bacterial large subunit ribosomal RNA", at positions 1 to 258 of the family's 2925-position model. Lineage: Bacteria; Pseudomonadati; Pseudomonadota; Betaproteobacteria; Burkholderiales; Comamonadaceae. The record is from RNAcentral.